CAGUAGCCGCGGUAAUACGUAGGGUGCAAGCGUUAAUCGGAAUUACUGGGCGUAAAGCGUGCGCAGGCGGUGUUGUAAGACUGAUGUGAAAUCCCCGGGCUCAACCUGGGAACUGCAUUGGUGACUGCAGCGCUGGAGUGCGGCAGAGGGGGAUGGAAUUCCGCGUGUAGCAGUGAAAUGCGUAGAUAUGCGGAGGAACACCGAUGGCGAAGGCAAUCCCCUGGGCCUGCACUGACGCUCAUGCACGAAAGCGUGGGGAGCAAACAGGAUUAGAGACCCCAGUAGUCCCUGUCUCUUAUAC
This 301-nucleotide ribosomal RNA is filed under the name uncultured bacterium. Its description in RNAcentral is "partial 16S ribosomal RNA". It matches the Rfam family "Bacterial small subunit ribosomal RNA", at positions 509 to 807 of the family's 1533-position model. The record is from RNAcentral.